This is a long non-coding RNA of Quercus robur (English oak), 632 nucleotides long. RefSeq lists it as uncharacterized. Lineage: Eukaryota; Viridiplantae; Streptophyta; Magnoliopsida; Fagales; Fagaceae. The transcript has 2 exons. The record is from RefSeq and is a predicted model, not a curated record.
CUAGAGACCUUCAAUCUCUGCAUCUUCUAUAAAGUUUAUAUUCCUCACUUUUAACCAUUCGUUUCGAUUCUUUUAGGAUUGCUCUUCAGGUGAUCAUUCAGAUGAGGCUCCACCUCCUUCUCGAUUCCAGGGGAAAGAGCCAGUCUUGCCUUCUUGGACCGUACCCCGUCUUCACAAAGGAUGGUGCCAUCAAAGAGGUACCAAUACCCCGGAAGAAAAAUGUGAUGGGGUAUCCACUAUCCACUGGCCCUUGGGACUCGCCAGAUCACAAAUGCUGAGGUGCAGGACCUUAUAUGGAUGGUCGGGAACCUAAAGCUAGAGGUUACUCGAUAUUCUCGCCUUCUGUAUAAGGGGAGUGAUCAGUCUGUGGAUGACACAAGAGAUGCCAAUUCUUCAGGGAGCAUCACUGCUCAACGAGUCUCGAAGAGAAUGAGAAGACCUAGCUACUAGAUCUAUUCAUAAACUUGUUAUUUUAUGUUUUUUCUCUGUCUUUGUUAUGUGUAUGUGCAUGUGUUUGUUAACAUUUCCAGCAUUUUGUUGGAAACAAAAAAAAAAAAAAAAAAAAAAAAAAGAUCAUUUUUUGGUCCAGGGCUAGUUCAUACAUUUGAAUGUAAAAUUAAAGUUUUAACGAA